Molecule: ribosomal RNA, 321 nt
Filed under: uncultured bacterium
Lineage: Bacteria
Description: bacterial SSU rRNA
Rfam family: Bacterial small subunit ribosomal RNA
Source: RNAcentral
AUUGAACGCUGGCGGCAUGCUUUACACAUGCAAGUCGAACGGCAGCACGGGGGCAACCCUGGUGGCGAGUGGCGAACGGGUGAGUAACACGUAGGCAACUUACCUUGAGAACGGGAAUAACCCCGGGAAACCGGGGCGUAAUACCCGAUGUUAUUCCGUUGUAGCAUUGCAAUGGAAUAAAAAGACCCGCAAGGCGUCACAAGAUAGGCCUGCGUCCCAUUAGAUAGUUGGCGGGGUAACAGCCCACCAAGUCGACGAUGGGUAGCUGGUCUGAGAGGACGAUCAGCCACACUGGAACUGAGACACGGUCCAGACUUCUAC